Molecule: microRNA precursor, 104 nt
Filed under: Bombyx mori (domestic silkworm)
Lineage: Eukaryota; Metazoa; Arthropoda; Insecta; Lepidoptera; Bombycidae
Description: microRNA bmo-mir-2751 precursor
Source: miRBase by way of RNAcentral
ACCUAUCGAGUAUGCUAGCCGCCUACUCACCGCAGCGGAGCGCAACUACUCUACUACAGAACGGGAAGCGCUUGCUGUAGUCUGGGCCGUGGAGCGUUUCAGGC